Molecule: long non-coding RNA, 8294 nt
Organism: Pteropus alecto (black flying fox)
Lineage: Eukaryota; Metazoa; Chordata; Mammalia; Chiroptera; Pteropodidae
Exons: 2
Source: RefSeq, a predicted model, not a curated record
UUGAAGGUGAGGAAACGGGGGUGCAGAGCAGUGAAGUAGCAUGUCCAAUGCUUACCCCGUAGGUAAGUGGCAGGACCCGACCCGCGACUGUCCAGCUCCUCACUCCCAGCCUCUCUGCUGUAAGCACUCCUCCCCGCCACUCACUCCUGCAGCCUUCAUUGUUACUUUUUAUCAGUAGCAGGUGGAGGCCAUGUCUUAAACAUCUUGCCUCUCCUUCCCUGAGCAUCUAGAACAAAGCAGACCCACGGAAAAUCUUCACUCAUGGAAGCGGUUCUUCCGCCAGGGGCACCCUCUACCUGCCAGCUCUCUUCAACCUAGGACAGUUUCUGAUCCUCUUUGGAUUCCGUGGCCUCUGUAAUCCUCCCUGAGCGGCCACGGUCCUGCAUCUGAGGAGGUCCCAGCCAUCCCUACCGUUACUGGCUUGCCUGUGACAAAUAUGGGACUGGCACUUCAGCUGGGGAAAAGCAGCAGCAGGAGUUGAUCAAUUCCUAAGCAACGAAGAUCCUGUUUUCAUGCAAACGUCCUCGGCGUUAAAACAAAAACAAAUCCCUCCCAGGGAGUGUCCUAGAUGCCAAGACACAUUUUUGAGUGAGGUUUUGCGCCUGCGCGAGAGACUAACAGGGAUGAGAGGAGAGAGUGCGUGCCAAGUGCCGUCUGGUAGACUCUCAUGUGAACCUCAGAGCCGCCCCGCCAGCUUGCACCGUCAGAGCCCGACUUGACAGAUAAGGAAAUAGGCAGUGAGAAAUGAGGGAACAUGCCCAGUGUCAGUCAGCGGGCAAAUGGCGGCCAGGGGACGUGACCAGGUCUGACGGAAGCUGUGUCGUUUCUGACACAGGCACCGGGAUCGACUGUGAAUACAUUCACCUUACGGAGACUGCGGUAUGACCACGGACAUUUCGAGUGACUUGCUCUUCACAUCACCAGAUAAAAAGAAAUUAGGAUGGUGCCCGACUGCCAUCUCUCCUUACAAAAAACGAGACCCGGGUGUGAAUCUGGAUUAAAUGUCAGACUUGACUAAAUGCUGUUUAAUCUGUGACACUUACAAAGUGCUCGGGAGUGUCCUUGACUACUUGGCUCUAGGCGUGGGCUUGGCCUCCUUGCCUCUGAGGCCAAGAGCAGAUAAAGAGAGGAGACCAAGAGGGAUGUUACGAUGUAAUACAGGACCUUUGGGUGGAAUGACAGUAAGUGCCCUGAGUUCUGAAGAAGUGAGACCUCUGAGGGCUUCCUGGAGGAGGGGAUAUUUCAAUUCAAUUUAGGAGGUCUCGUAACAGCUCUGGCCUGAUUCUGGAGAAGCUGGGUGCCCGCCAACACCAGUGCUACCGGCAUGUCACCAGGAUCACCGGGCCUGCCUGAUGGUUACGGAAAGUGUCCACAAAGCAUCUAGCCUCCAGCUGGUUCCAGCAGCUUUGUCCUUUGAGAUCAUAGAUGCCCAAAGGCCACACACCUAGGGGCAGGCCACAUGAUUCACUUUUGGUAAAUGACCUGUUAUACCAGGCUUGUGGCAUUCUAGUGCUGUAAGGUUAUCCGGUACCACCCUCUUACUGCUCAUGCCUCGCCCCAGGCUCAUGGUCCAAUGAAGACUCCAGCUCAAAUCUGUUUCCUCCCGCUCUGAGAUCCCCUGUGCAGCCCCAGUCUCACCCUGAGGGGGUAGUAACCGGCUUCGGCACAUGCUCUGAUGCCCCUGGUGGGCCCGGAGCACAGAGAGCCUAACCACCGGCUGCAGCCUUCCCAAGUCAGCCUGAGAGCGAUUCGAGGGUGGGGAGGAGCUCCCAACGCAUCUCUCUUCCUAGUGCCCAGGCAACGGUCUGGUGCUGCGGAAGGCGAGUAGGCAAGUCUGGCAGGAAAAUAGGGCCCACGAAGGGGUUUUGUGCAAGUUAAAAGUGACGAGAAGCAGCUAAGAAGAGUGGGAAGAGAUGGACUCUGUGUACCAAAGACCCGGUCUGGCAUCGGACACUGUCACUGUGUCAGGGAUUGAGAGAGCUCCCCUUUUCCUCCCAGCGUUGCAGCUGGACUACAUUUCCCAGCCUUCCUUGCAGUUAGGAGUGGUCAUGUGACUGCAUUCUGGUCAAUGGAACAUGAAUAGAAGAGAUGUGGGCCAACUCCAGGCCUCGCCCCUAAAACCCUCCCACUUAUGGUUCUCUCUCUUUCUCCAUCUACCAACUGAAUGGAGAGAGCGCCCAGGAUUAGAGGGAAACAAAGCCACAAGAAGGAGAGAGCCCGGGUCCCUGAAUCACCGUGUGGAAGGCCGCCUGCCAAACACACACCCUGAAUCGCGUGAGCAGGAAGUAAACCCUAAGGGCUUAAGCUAUUAAAAUGUGGGGGCAGUUACAGCUCUUAGUCCAGCUUGACUAAUACAGUCUCUUACUAGCCAUGUGGCUCUGGAAAAGUUUCUUAACCUACCAGAGUUUCAGUUUCCUUCUCUGUGAAAUGAGAAUUAAAAAAAUCUUCCUGAGAACCACCAAGGUCACCCUUGUCAGCCUCCUGCAUUAUAACUUCUGUGAGUCCGAGGCCCUUUUGCCUUCACCAGUCCCGUUCUGCAUUUUAAAAAAAACCCCAAAUGCAAAAAAAUUUAAAAUUAGGGUUUACAGUUAUAAUUGCUAUAAAGAUGAAUAUAAUCUAGGCUGAAUUCAUCAUGAUGGUUAUCAUUAUUAUUUUUAUAUUUGAUUUUAUACUCACUAUUAUUAUAUUCAUUUUUUUCUUCCGAUUUUAAGAGAAAUUAAAAUUAAACAUUUUCUGGGGUCCUAAAGCCGUGAGCCCUGGGCACUCACUGUUCCUAUUGUACUUAAUGGAGAAGCCAAUCCAGCUUACUAUAGCACCUGGCCCGCCACUCACGCAAUAUGUGGUAACUAUGGAUAUUAAAAAUAAUAAUAGGGAGAUGGAGGCACGAAACAGCGACAAAUGGUUAUGAAGCCCUUUCAUACGUCUCAUUUUCUCCAGCUCUCGCCUCCAUUGUCUAAGAUGCAUGUCGUCUGUAUUUUCUGAAGCAGAGAAGUGAGGGUCAAGGAGACUGCGUUAUGCUCAAGAAAGGCAGGGCAUCCACCACUCGGUGCUGUACGCAUGGCACCUUACGUCAGCCACCAUGCUAGGCACCUGUCUUAUUUUAUCACAUUUAAUUUUCACAGCCCGAUGAUGAGGUAGGUUUCUUACUUAACCCCAUUUUAUGACUGAAAAAAGAAACUGAUGCUAAGGACAAGGAACUGAGCUCAGAACCGAAACCACUUCUAGUGCUGAAUCUAAUGCUCCUUCCACCACCUUGCCUUUCCAUCUAUCAAUAGCUGUGUCGUGAGAAUUGAUAAAGGGCAGUGUCUGUGGAGGGUGUCAGACACCCCAACACCUUCCGCAGAGCAGAGAAGAACCUGCUCAGGGCUGACAUGCGAGAUUAUGCUUUCUCAUUCUCCACCCAAAUGUACUCUUUAGAAAGUCUAAUUAUAGUGACUUCUAUUUUCUUGUAAAUAACCACAUCUGUCAUAACUGAUUUGACUGAUCUGAGGCUCCAAGUUGGCAGUCUUGGCGGCCUGAGCCAAUGUGUCAAUUAUGCCAAGGAGGCUGUAAGCAAAAGUUUCACAAAUGGAAGAGAGAAAAGAAAAAUUAGUCACAGGCAUAUAGAUGGUGGGGAUCGAUACAUGCUUUUUCACAACAAGGAAAAGCAUAUAACUUAACAUGGCCGAUGAGUGUCAAGCCCUUAGCAACCCAACUUAGUAAAAACAGAGCCAGGCAGAUCCCAGGAAAUGAAAACCAUCUUUUCAGUGAAGACUCAGUUCUAGAAACUGGCUUCUUAAAUAGCUUUCGAGUCUCAGUAGAUACUUCCAGGAAUUUGCCAUAGCCCUUAAAGCUUGUUUUCAGGGAGAAAGGCAGAAGGAAGUGCUCCCAUGAUUCAAGAAUGUAGUCUUAAGGGCUAGAUUCAGAGUGCGGCUGUUCAGCCGGCAUCAAGUAUCAGCAAGAACUUUGUAUCUGGACUUACGUACAAGUCUACCCUCUCCACCCCAACCUAGCGGUAGUGUGACUAAGGAAAUCACUGAGGCUUCCCGAAUCCAUCUCAAGCUUUCUCUUCUGUAAGUGCUGACAACCUAGAACUCUUGUGGAACUGAUGGUAUAAUGACUGUGUGUGACAGCCUGUUGGAAAGUGUAAGCACUGCAUAAAUGCUAAUCAUCAUCCUUAUUACUCACGGAUCAGCAUAUACUGAGUCCUGUUUUCAAUCCAUGGCUUCUUUCUUUCCUCAAAUAACUCUAAGUAGAAACGGUCACGCUUUAAGUCAGAGAGGGGUCGUAUGAGAGAUGGGAUCUAGUUGGGACUUCUUUCAUAGGAAGGUGUUUGAAAGUCAUUUUAUCCACCAUGCUCUGAAAGCCCCUGCAUCCGAAAGGAGCAUCUUCCAGGUGGGAACGUGGGAAAGUGAACAGCGCCUCUCAUCUACUCCCCACCUGCCCACCGGAAAUGGACACAUGCUUUCCGCGACCCGAUUCCUGUAACCUGCCUUGGGUCUAGCUGACCUAUGCGAGCAGAGUAAUCAGAGCAGAGAGGCUGAUGCCCUACUGACUAGGCUCUGAGUUCAGCUCAGUUGUUUACUUAUGGUGUGACCUUGGGCAAGUCACCGCACCUUUCUAUGCUUCAGUUUCCUCAUCUGUAAGAUGAGGGUAAGAGCAGUACCUGUCCAGCCCUUGGGGUGGUGGAGAAAUAAAUGAAUCAACACAUGUCAGUGGGGCCAGGCCAAUGGGAACCAAUCGGUAUGGGUUGGAAUUUACUACGACUGCGGCGACAUUCACAUUACAAGUCAAUGGCCUUCCCUCCCCCAUCCAGUAUCUAUUAACACGAGUGUUUAACAUGUUAACCAUCUUCAGAUUUUCCACAUUAAACCCCUUACUAGAAAGAACAUUCUGUGGUCCACACAGAAGAUCUGGCGGCAAGAAUAGUGUUAAAAGCUCCAUGAUCUGUAUCUGAAUCUUCAAGAGUCACCUCCUUCAACAGAAGUUCGUUUCAAAGGCAGAGAUGUUGGAGAGUUCUGGGUUUAGAAUCAGAGGGCCGAGUCCUAGCCCAAUGCCAUUUUCUCUACUUUGUGGCCUUGGGCAAGUCGCUGCCUGUCUCUGAGUAUUAAUUUUCUUGGAUGUAAAGUAAAGGGGGCUUUUGGCUAUAAAUUUCAGUUUACUCAUCUGUAAAAAGGGAUAAUAAGAACUAUCAUAGAGGUGCUAUGAGGUGUAAACCAAAAAACUAAGAUGGAUGAGGCAUUCUCCCUACAUCAUCCCAUUAAUCCUUAAAAGAAGCCAACGAGGCAGGUGUUACUUUCCCCCAUUUUACAGACGAGGAAAUUGAGGUUUUAAGGCCAGGUGUCUUCAUGUGUCAUGGCAGCAGUGUGAGUUCCAAAGCUGCACACUGGACGAAUUCUAGGGCUUACAUUUAGGUCUUCAUUUAAAUGACAAAUAAAAAUGUGGAUGGUUUUCUAAAGCAAUGGUUUUCCUUUGCUUUGCGUCUAUCACUAUUUCUUCAGAAAAUGCCAGUGCAACAUUGUAACAACAUUGGCAAUCUUUGUUAACAAUAUAGCUACCGAUGUGGAGCUCCAAUCCAGACUGGUCAGGUUCAAAUCCUGAUAAGGUCACUCACCUACUGACUCUGGUAUCCUGGCAAGUUACACCCCUCCUUGUAACUGAUUCCCAGCUGUGAAUCUGGAAGGAGUGUGGUGAGAAUCAUGGAUUAUGAACGAUGAAUUAUGUGGGUUAACAGAUGGCUUUGUGGUCACAGCCAGUGCUUUUUAUAGGUUAUUAUUAUUUGUUAGUUCUGUUGUUGUCUAGUCCUCUACAGUUUACCCAAGUCGUUCCCCUUAUAUCAUAUGUGGUUCUUGUAUCUAAGAGGAGUCAGGGCGGAAGUGAUCAUUUGCCUCUUAAAAGUAUUUAAAGGUAUAAUUAUUACCCCAUUUUACAGAUGAGUAAGUAUACUGAAACUAAAAUAGUGACCCACCCAAGGUGACAGGAUGGUUCAGGGUCAGAUGUAGUCACUAAGACCCAUUUGAGUUCUUCUGAUAACAAGGCUGGGUGGCUUUUAUGUUUGUUUGUUUGUUUUUAUUUCCUAUGCUGCACUUCACAUCCCUGUGACUAUUUUGUAACUUGCGAUUUGUACUUCUUAAUCCCUUCACCUUUUCAAGGGCUGGAUGACUUUGGACAAGUCGCGGUAUCUCUCUGAGCCUCAUCUAUAAAAUAAGAGGGCUGAAGCUGAAGCCUCAACUCUAUCAUCUCCUGACAGAGAGACACUAAGUACCCGACGAAGCGAAGUUAAUAGGUCAGUGGUUCAUUCAUUCAACUGGAAAAUAUCCGAGCCUGCCUGGGAGCCGAGCAGCGCCCCAAGCUUCGAUGAUCCAACAACAACCAUAAUAGCAGCAGCGGCGGCAAAGGCAGCUCCCACUCACCAACCGCCUCUUGUGCCUGCCUUAGCCUGGCGGAUCCGCUCUCCAUGCUCCUCCGCUCCGCUCCGUGAUGCCUGUGGACUGCUUAGCGGGCAUCCUCACCUCACCCCUUCGCUUCCGGGUGAGUUCUACCGGUGGGAGGAACCAGCACGAGAUCAGAGGGUCAAAGGACAGUGAGGUCCCAGACCCACUGUGGGACCAUAAAAAAUGCAUCGUUUUGUGCUUCGGCUUCCCCACUCACCUGAUGGGGCAAAUAGUAAUACUUACUCCAUGAAUGCGACUUAACUGAGUUAACGCGUUUAGAACAGUGCCUGGCCAUAGUAGGUAUGCAGUAAACGUUAGCUUGUACUACUUAUUUUCAUGUGGGACAGCCACUCUGCUGCAGCUACGCCUCUCCUGAGUUCCAGUGGCCACACUGCUUCUGUCCCAGGGGAGGGAGGACCUCCAGCUGUUGCUUGCUCUGGGAUCCCCAUGGCUUGCUGGCUUCCCUGAACCCUGUCUACCCUCUGUGAAUGGUCCAUUCGUUAAUCUCCUCACUACUCCAUGUCCUGCUGGGACUCUAAAUCCAACACCUGUACAUACUGUUCUAGGUGGUUUUCAUGAGUUUUCUGUAAUGCUUACAUCAUUCCUUUAAGGGAAGUGUUACUGUGCCCAUUUCUACAGAUGGAAAACAGGUUUAAAGUUCAACUCAAGCCCCACGAUUAGGAAGUGGUUAAGUUGCAUUUCAAAUUCAGGCCUAACUUUCAUACCCAGGCUUAGCUUUAAUGCCCAAUGAAAAUGACACAUGCACCUGUGACUUCCCAAAUGCUUAUAGACAAGAGGUGAUGACAAUCUUGUGUGAUGACUAGUCUCAGAAGUAUAAGAACAGUGAACCUGACCGAAGCCAAGGGCACCUAGAAUUGGAGUGUCAGUCAGAGAUGGCUUCCUGGAGGAGGUGAUGUUGCCCUGACUCAUAAAAGAUGCGGAGUUAUUCUGAGAAUGAGAUAGAGAAACUGGAAUGGGUAGAGGAACAGAAGGAUGAGAGAAAGAGAGAAGGAGCUUUUCCAAGAGCUGCAAGCCGUUCGAAAAUCCUAGAGCAGAGAACUCAAUGGGGAGGUGAGGGCAAGAGAGAGAGGCUGGCUCCUCGUGACGAAGAGCCACGAGUGCUGAGCCGAGGAGCAGGGAGCCCGCCACACUUUGAGUGGGAGGCCUGAAGAGCAGCGGAGUUACAGCCCCUCGGGCGCGGCCCACAGCAGUGGCUGAUGGGAGCUGGUGAGGAAGUACCACACCUGCCUCGACCCUCAGGGAGAGGACGCCGAGGGGCGCCGCGGCCUUCCCUGGCGCGCAGGUGCACGGUGGGGCUGAGCCCCAGCUGCCCGCCAUGCGAACGUGCUUGAAAGCGCCCCAUGUCCUGCCCCUUCUCAGCCCAGUGCCGCAUCCCGGCUCCUACCCCAGCGCUCCCGUCACUUCUCGAAUAAACGACCUGCACUUGAAUUUUGGUCUUGCGGCCUUCCUCCGGGGAACCCAGACUGAGACGGUCUGAUUCUUGGUUUCAUAGAAUGAAAGAGCACAGAAUGAGGGGGCUUCAGGAGUAAGAACCUUCCAGAAGCAGGGAACACAUGGAAUCUACAGCCAGUUAAUGGAGGAGGUGAGAUUUAUCCUGUGUGCAGGCCGAGGGCUCUAAGCAGCUGCCAUGCAUGCGAGGGCAUCCAGGAUCCUGUGUUCUAGUCUUAGCUCUGGACUCAGCAUCAUAUGCUGGAGAGAACAUGGCCUUUCGAGAGGGGUUGAUCCAGAUAUGAAUUCAGGCUGGGUCCCAGAUAGGCAGGUGACCCCUAUAGGAAGUUACGUGGCCUCCCAGCGCCUCGGUUUGCUCAGCUAAUGAUGUUCAAGUGUGAAAAUGUAAAUAAAAAACACCUCACUAAGGAA